GAUGAACGCUGGCGGCGUGCCUAAUACAUGCAAGUCGAGCGAACAGAUGAGGAGCUUGCUCCUCUGACGUUAGCGGCGGACGGGUGAGUAACACGUGGAUAACCUACCUAUAAGACUGGGAUAACUUCGGGAAACCGGAGCUAAUACCGGAUAAUAUAUUGAACCGCAUGGUUCAAUAGUGAAAGACGGUUUUGCUGUCACUUAUAGAUGGAUCCGCGCCGCAUUAGCAGUUGGUAAGGUAACGGCUUACCAAGGCAACGAUGCGUAGCCGACCUGAGAGGGUGAUCGGCCACACUGGAACUGAGACACGGUCCAGACUCCUACGGGAGGCAGCAGUAGGGAAUCUUCCGCAAUGGGCGAAAGCCUGACGGAGCAACGCCGCGUGAGUGAUGAAGGUCUUCGGAUCGUAAAACUCUGUUAUUAGGGAAGAACAAAUGUGUAAGUAACUAUGCACGUCUUGACGGUACCUAAUCAGAAAGCCACGGCUAACUACGUG
This 496-nucleotide ribosomal RNA is filed under the name uncultured bacterium. Its description in RNAcentral is "partial 16S ribosomal RNA". It matches the Rfam family "Bacterial small subunit ribosomal RNA", at positions 28 to 507 of the family's 1533-position model. The record is from RNAcentral.